UGAGCCACUGUGCCUGGCCAUCUCUGAGGGAUUUUAACGAGUUGUUGACUUUUGAGUUUGUUCAGCUGUUUACUUACUGAUAGAAUCAAGUGACAAAUUUCAAGCUUGUUAUACCCCUGACAGGAAACCAGAAGUCUCUAGGAAUUGACUGGAGAAUAUGAGCUUAAUAGUAGGUUGAGGAUGGAGUCACGAGUGAAAUGGGUGAAGUCAGCCCAUGGGCUUUGGAGACUGCAGACCUGUCCAGCCUCUGACACCCUGGUGAGUCAGUGCAAAGAUUAGAAGAGUGACAGCAAACUAGCAUGGCUGACUCCAUCUGGCAUCUAGUCUCAGGCUGGCUGUCCUCACUCAUUCCUGGACAUAGGCCAGGCUAACCAUGGGAGGAAUUUAGUUUAUGGUUUAACUUUGAAGCAAGAAUGAUAAUAGUUCCUCCAUAACACUAAUACCCUUCUUUUGCCCAGGGAUUGCCUUUGUAAAACUGGAGAAAGAUCAUGAGACUAAGAUUAUUGGAGGGAACUGAAUUCUACUAAAAUGAGGCCAGAAAAACUUGUCUGGGAAUUGUAAGAGUGGAUGGAGGAGCUGCCUAUCCCUGUCCCACGGUCUUGUCCACAGAACAGUCUCACAAAGGGAAAUAGCCGUGGAUGGGAAUACAGUGGAAGCUUCUUCUCUUAGUGACCUGGAGACAUUGGUUCGAGAUGAAGCCUGGCAGGAGUGGCAACUCCAGGUGAUUUCUGUGCCUUUCCUAUUUCCUGGGAGUGGGCCAGGCCACAGUGUUAGCAGGAAGGGAACAGAACAGUCAGCCUAGUUAGAGGGAGUGUCUGGGGAAGGCCUAGGGGUGGAGGAAGAAGCUGUGCAGGACAGGGCUUGCCAGUUAGAAUGAAAUGGGAGGAAGAUGAGGGACACAGAGAAGCAGAGCGAGGCAGAGACACCACCGCAGUGAACAAUGGGGCCUACAGUGACUUCAGAGACCCCAGGGACCAGGUGCCCCCAUUUCCACAGUCCAGGACCAGGUAGCCCUCAAAACUCUCCAGCGGCCAAAGAGCUUCAGAGUUACACAUGAGGUGGGGUGGCUUUAGGGACAAGAGGUAGUGGGGGGAUGAAACAUGGGUGUCAGUCUCUGAAGGACAAGGGACAGGUGUGGCUAGAACUUCGUAGGAUUCUGCAUUCAAGAUCCAGUCUCUAAAGAGGUUAUGGAUCAUUCAUUUCUUCAUUCAAUUCCUUCAUUUGUUAUGUGAGAGCACCUGAGGGUGUGUCUCUCACUGGGCCUGUGCUGGUGCAGGGUGUGGGUGGGGAAAACAAACAAGGUCCUCUCUUUUAUCCUGUCAUACCAGUGACAUGGACACUUUGGAAAACGCAGGAUUUCAGGUUCAGUGAUAGGGGUUAAGAUCUGAGGGGGAGAUCUGGACAUAUUUUGCACUGACUCUGAUGGUUGAGGCAGGUGAUUUAGUUCUGGAGAACACACUAAUCAGCUGACCAUUUGCUCUCACUCCUCUGAGGUUUGGAUGCCUAAGAAGAGAGGAUUUGAGCCAAUAAAUGACUAUGGGGUCCUUGGAAUCCAAUAAGCCAUCACUUCUGGUGGAGGAGAGGAUGGGCCUGUGGCUGCAGACAGACCUCAUGUGACCCUGAUCUGCCUUUUGUGUUUGUGUGAUUCUGGUUCAGUGACUGUGCCUUCCUGUGCCUCAGUUUUCUCUCAGUCAAAUAAGCUAAAUGGCAAAUG
Cercocebus atys (sooty mangabey) is the source of this 1714-nucleotide long non-coding RNA. RefSeq lists it as uncharacterized. NCBI's taxonomy places the organism in Eukaryota, Metazoa, Chordata, Mammalia, Primates, Cercopithecidae. The transcript is spliced from 2 exons. The record is from RefSeq and is a predicted model, not a curated record.